GACGAACGCUGGCGGCGGGCUUAACACAUGCAAGUCGAACGGAAAGGCCCUUCUUUUGUGGGGUGCUCGAGUGGCGAACGGGUGAGUAACACGUGAGUAACCUGCCCUUGACUUUGGGAUAACUUCAGGAAACUGGGGCUAAUACCGGAUAGGCGCUCCUGCUGCAUGGUGGGGGUUGGAAAGUUUCGGCGGUUGGGGAUGGACUCGCGUCUUAUCAGCUUGUUGGUGGGGUAGUGUCUUACCAAGGCUUUGACGGGUAGCCGGCCUGAGAGGGUGACCGGCCACAUUGGGACUGAGAUACGGCCCAGACUCCUACGGGAGGCAGCAGUGGGGAAUAUUGCACAAUGGGCGGAAGCCUGAUGCAGCAACGCCGCGUGCGGGAUGACGGCCUUCGGGUUGUAAACCGCUUUCGCCUGUGACGAAGCGUGAGUGACGGUAAUGGGUAAAGAAGCACCGGCUAACUACGUG
RNAcentral lists this ribosomal RNA (468 nucleotides) under uncultured bacterium. Its description in RNAcentral is "partial 16S ribosomal RNA". It matches the Rfam family "Bacterial small subunit ribosomal RNA", at positions 28 to 507 of the family's 1533-position model. The record is from RNAcentral.